GGUGUGCUCGAUUUUAUACACCUGUCAGCAACAGCAAUAGCCAAAUCUACUAAUUUGAAGGAGUGUCCACAUACACUAUAUAUACAAAAGUAUCUCUCAGAUAUAGGAGAGGCUCUUCAGAAAAAACUUCCUGCUGAUAUUUGGGGGGGAUUAUCUGUUCCAUGUGGUGAAUCUGUAAUGCAAUGUGUUUAGCAGUAAGACAAACUGCUUCAAAAUCAAAUAGCUUAUUGGUCCUCAGUAUGACCUUCUUAAAACAAUUCCAUAUAGCUUAGUAGACCCCCCCCCCCCAGACUCUGAUGGGUUAAUUGAGAAGGCUUUGGGGAAAGUAUUUAUAAUCAACACACAAGACGGUUAUCACAUCAACUGACCACACACGGAGUGAUAGACAUACGCAAGCACCACGCAGACAGACGGGCAAUAUUGCUGGAAAUUAAUUGCCAGAUAUUGUUAGAUUUGUCUUUUUAAGCCAAUAGUGGAUAACUAGGGGUGUGAUAAUGUCAAUGUUCCAUUGACUAGAUUGUAGCUGGGAAUUUGCACUGUCUGAUAUGUGAUAUUUGUUUGACAGUUUUCGGUGGAGUGCGAUUGAGAUUGUGUCAUCUCUGGGUCUAUUGUGGUGAUAUGUGAAUUGGAGUGGAUCUAGGGCAGGGGUCUCCAACAGGUCGAUUGCGAGUAGCUCGCAGCCCAACUAUGAGUAGCUUGCACUUCACUUGAAAAUUGCAUGCACUUUCAGAAUUGUUUGGCACUGUCAACUGUGGGACCUUAUAUAGACAGUUGUGUGCCUUUCCAAAUCAUGUCCAAUGAAUUGAAUUUACCACAGGUGGACUACAAUCAAGUUGUAGAAACAUUUCAAGGAUGAUCAAUGGAAACAGGAAGUACCUGAGCUCAAUUUCAAGUCUCAUAUCAAAGGGUCUGAAUACUUAUGGAGGCAGUGAUGAUAGAAGAAACACUGCAAGCUACUGGAGGCUAUCAGCUCGCUUGGGGGGGAAGAAAAGGAAGAAGCUUACUGAACGGUCUGAAGAAAGCAUUCAGGUGUCAGAAUUCACAGUCAAAGGUGAAUUAGACAAAAUCAAUUUGACCUCAUUGGAACCUUGGGUAAGACCCCCAGUGCCUUAAUGAAGACGGAGAAGCAGCUGAAGAACCUUCAACACAACCAGAGCACCCUGGAAACACCCCUGACCAGGAAGUAGACAGAACGGAUCCAAAGAGAAGUGGCUUUUGAGAAAACGUCAAGAGGUGUCCCGCUGGCAGAGUGUGGUCCUGCAGAACCAGAAGGCAGAACAGCUGGUCUUCCCACUGAACCAGCAGCCCUCUGGCCCAAAACGCAUAGAGCAGGUGGUGGCUGGAUGGAAGGCCCAAACUUUCCUAGAACAAGCAGCCUCUCCAUGACCCUGUUCUGACACCCACUGAGGAGGCCUCUCUGAGGGCCAUAAGUCUGGAGGAAGUGGGUCCCACCUCAAGCAUCCAGCAUGGGGUCAUAUGCAUAAGAUAAGCUAAAUCUAGUGUGUUAGUGCUGGGUAAGUGCAAAGACCUGCACACACUACUGCCCUUGACUUAAUUUUGUAUGUGCACUAAAAGGACAAUGUACUGGAAAAACAACAACGCACAAAAGUUUUUCUAGAUGGUUAUUGAUGGUCUCACUUAUCUACAACCAAUAUAUAAAACUAUAUUUUUUUUGUCAGGCUAAGAUCCGUCGUGCAGAUCUCCAAAAAGCCAGAACUCUAUAGUCUUAUUAUGAAGUGAAAGUCAAAAGGGAAAUAAAAAUAAAAAGCCGGGGCAUAUCCUUCCAAUAUACUGUACAGUUGACCGGGGCAUAUCCUUCCAAUAUACUGUACAGUUGACCGGGGCAUAUCCUUCCAAUAUACUGUACAGUUGACCGGGGCAUAUCCUUCCAAUAUACUGUACAGUUGACCGGGGCAUAUCCUUCCAAUAUACUGUACAGUUGACUGGGGCACAUCCUUCCAAUAUAGUGUACAGUUGACCAGGGCAUGAGUGACUCAGCAGUAAUCCGCUUCAAAAGAUCAUCUCUUUAUUCAAGGCUCCCAAUUCACUCUCUUCCUCCACCUGCCCUCUUUGUACAUAGUGCCGGAUUAUUAUUUUAACCCCCUUUUCUCCCCAAUUUCGUGAUUACAAUCUUGUCUCAUCGCUGCAGCUCCUCAGCGACCAAACUACAGAGGCAUGCUUUUGGCGGCCCGAUCAGCAGCCAGCACUAAUGCUUUAGGAAGUUGGCAACUUGUCCUACAGAUUCCAAAUUCCUGCAGGUACGUUAUUUGCUUCCUGUGUGAACUCAGCCCAAAUGUUCAGGAAAUGCGCAAGGUGUCAUCUCCCAUGCCGCAAUACUAACUUGAAGGACAACACUACUGUGUUUACCUGGAUGCAUGCCACCCAACACCACCAGCACGGUUUACUUUAUGUUAGAACUUAAGAACACCAAAUCUAAUAUUUCAACCUUUGUGAAUCUAUGUAACUAGAUGAUCCAUUUUUGUCUGCACAUACUACAGAAAUGAUAUGAAAUGUCAUUGAAUGUAAUGUAUGAUAAGAAUUCAAAGAAAAUAGAUACAUUUACCAUUAAAUGAUAAUGAUAUGACAAAUUACAACAAGUGUGUAAAUAAAUCUGUUUCCCUCACACAGCUUGAAUAACAGCACUGAAAGGCAAGCUUUCAUUAAUCUGCAUUGCCUUUUUUUUCAGGGCCAGUGUAACGGUCGUCGUAUGUAGUAGACCAAGGCGCAGCGGGUUGAGUGCUCAUUUUA
Non-coding RNA from Salmo salar (Atlantic salmon), 2748 nucleotides. NCBI's taxonomy places the organism in Eukaryota, Metazoa, Chordata, Actinopteri, Salmoniformes, Salmonidae. The record is from RefSeq and is a predicted model, not a curated record.